GUGCUUGCUUUAGCAGCACGUAUGCUAAAAAGAGAACAAUAUAGAGAAGAUUAGCAUGACCCCCAACAAGGAUGACAUGAAAAUUUAUGAAUCAUUCCAUAUAAAU
Octodon degus (degu) is the source of this 106-nucleotide small nuclear RNA. NCBI's taxonomy places the organism in Eukaryota, Metazoa, Chordata, Mammalia, Rodentia, Octodontidae. The record is from Ensembl.